RNAcentral lists this ribosomal RNA (433 nucleotides) under uncultured bacterium. RNAcentral describes it as "partial 16S ribosomal RNA". It matches the Rfam family "Bacterial small subunit ribosomal RNA", at positions 29 to 507 of the family's 1533-position model. The record is from RNAcentral.
AACGAACGCUGGCGGCAUGCCUAACACAUGCAAGUCGAACGAGACCUUCGGGUCUAGUGGCGCACGGGUGCGUAACGCGUGGGAACCUGCCCUUAGGUUCGGAAUAACUCCCCGAAAGGGGUGCUAAUACCGGAUAAUGUCUUCGGACCAAAGAUUUAUCGCCUUUGGAUGGGCCCGCGUUGGAUUAGCUAGUUGGUAGGGUAAAAGCCUACCAAGGCGACGAUCCAUAGCUGGUCUGAGAGGAUGAUCAGCCACACUGGGACUAAGACACGGCCCAGACUCCUACGGGAGGCAGCAGUGGGGAAUAUUGGACAGUGGGGGAAAGCCUGAUCCAGCAAUGCCGCGUGAGUGAUGAAGGCCUUAGGGUUGUAAAGCUCUUUUACCCGGGAUGAUAAUGACAGUACCGGGAGAAUAAGCUCCGGCUAACUCCGUG